UCAGGUAUGAUUGACUUCAAA
Molecule: microRNA, 21 nt
Filed under: Arabidopsis thaliana (thale cress)
Lineage: Eukaryota; Viridiplantae; Streptophyta; Magnoliopsida; Brassicales; Brassicaceae
Description: ath-miR864-5p
Gene: ath-miR864-5p
Source: miRBase by way of RNAcentral